CAAUAGCGUAUAUUAAAGUUGUUGCGGUUAAAAAGCUCGUAGUUGGAGUUCUGCCAGGUGCCGCCUGUCCGCCCCAGUGGUGAGUACGUGGCGCGCAUUUGGCCCUUUCAAGGGGAGCGUAUCUGCACUUUAUUGUGUGGUGCGGGAUCCUUGACUUUUACUUUGAGGAAAUAGGAGUGUUCCAAGCAGGCUCUCGUCGUGCACAGCUCAGCAUGGAAUAAUAGCAUUGGACCUCGAUUCUAAGCUGUUGGUUGCCAGAAGCGAGGUAAUGAUGAAGAGGGGUAGUUGGGGGCGGAUUCGUUAUUUAACUUAGUCAGAGGUGGAAAUUACUUUGGAUUUGUUUAAAGUAACGGACUACUGCGAAAGACAUCUGCCAUGGAUGUUUUCUAUUGAUCAAGAACGAAAGUUAAGGG
This 413-nucleotide ribosomal RNA is filed under the name uncultured eukaryote. RNAcentral describes it as "SSU rRNA". It matches the Rfam family "Eukaryotic small subunit ribosomal RNA", at positions 592 to 996 of the family's 1831-position model. The record is from RNAcentral.